RNAcentral lists this ribosomal RNA (492 nucleotides) under uncultured bacterium. RNAcentral describes it as "partial 16S ribosomal RNA". It matches the Rfam family "Bacterial small subunit ribosomal RNA", at positions 29 to 507 of the family's 1533-position model. The record is from RNAcentral.
AGUGAACGCUGGCGGUAGGCCUAACACAUGCAAGUCGAACGGCAGCACAGUAAGAGCUUGCUCUUACGGGUGGCGAGUGGCGGGCGGGUGAGGAAUACAUCGGAAUCUACUUUUUCGUGGGGGAUAACGUAGGGAAACUUACGCUAAUACCGCAUACGACCUACGGGUGAAAGCAGGGGAUCUUCGGACCUUGCGCGAUUGAAUGAGCCGAUGUCGGAUUAGCUAGUUGGCGGGGUAAAGGCCCACCAAGGCGACGAUCCGUAGCUGGUCUGAGAGGAUGAUCAGCCACACUGGAACUGAGACACGGUCCAGACUCCUACGGGAGGCAGCAGUGGGGAAUAUUGGACAAUGGGCGCAAGCCUGAUCCAGCCAUACCGCGUGGGUGAAGAAGGCCUUCGGGUUGUAAAGCCCUUUUGUUGGGAAAGAAAAGUAGCAGGUUAAUACCCCGCUGUUCUGACGGUACCCAAAGAAUAAGCACCGGCUAACUUCGUG